GACGAACGCUGGCGGCGUGCUUAACACAUGCAAGUCGAACGGUGAAGCCCUUCGGGGUGGAUCAGUGGCGAACGGGUGAGUAACACGUGAGCAACCUGCCCCUGGCUCUGGGACAACCACUGGAAACGGUGGCUAAUACCGGAUACGACCCGCCUCGGCAUCGAGUGUGGGUGGAAAGUUUUACGGCUGGGGAUGGGCUCGCGGCCUAUCAGCUUGUUGGUGAGGUGAAGGCUCACCAAGGCGACGACGGGUAGCCGGCCUGAGAGGGCGACCGGCCACACUGGGACUGAGACACGGCCCAGACUCCUACGGGAGGCAGCAGUGGGGAAUAUUGCACAAUGGGCGAAAGCCUGAUGCAGCGACGCCGCGUGAGGGAUGACGGCCUUCGGGUUGUAAACCUCUUUCAGCUCCGAAGAAGCGAAAGUGACGGUAGGAGCAGAAGAAGCACCGGCUAACUACGUG
Molecule: ribosomal RNA, 462 nt
Filed under: uncultured bacterium
Lineage: Bacteria
Description: partial 16S ribosomal RNA
Rfam family: Bacterial small subunit ribosomal RNA
Source: RNAcentral